Molecule: ribosomal RNA, 449 nt
Filed under: uncultured bacterium
Lineage: Bacteria
Description: bacterial SSU rRNA
Rfam family: Bacterial small subunit ribosomal RNA
Source: RNAcentral
GGCCAGACUCCUACGGGAGGCAGCAGUGGGGAAUAUUGGGCAAUGGGCGCAAGCCUGACCCAGCAACGCCGCGUGAAGGAAGAAGGCUUUCGGGUUGUAAACUUCUUUUAAGAGGGACGAAACAAAUGACGGUACCUCUUGAAUAAGCCACGGCUAACUACGUGCCAGCAGCCGCGGUAAUACGUAGGGGGCAAGCGUUAUCCGGAUUCACUGGGUGUAAAGGGAGCGUAGACGGCGACGCAAGUCUGGAGUGAAAGCCCGGGGCCCAACCCCGGGACUGCUCUGGAAACUGCGUCGCUGGAGUACGGGAGGGGCAGGCGGAAUUCCUGGUGUAGCGGUGAAAUGCGUAGAUAUCAGGAGGAACACCGGCGGCGAAGGCGGCCUGCUGGACCGUGACUGACGUUGAGGCUCGAGAGCGUGGGGGGCAAACAGGAUUAGAUACCCCCGUA